Molecule: ribosomal RNA, 945 nt
Filed under: Triticum aestivum (bread wheat)
Lineage: Eukaryota; Viridiplantae; Streptophyta; Magnoliopsida; Poales; Poaceae
Description: partial small subunit ribosomal RNA
Source: RNAcentral
AUGGUUGCCCAGUUCUCUGACCAACUUGUUGUUGGAAAUGUGUAUUUCAUAUCUGGAGGAUUGUUGAAACCAGCACAGAAGUUGUUUAACCAUUUAAACAAUGCGUAUGAACUGAUUUUGGAUAGUUCAACAUCUGUAGAAAUCUGUUCCAGUGACGACAGCGGCAUCCCUUGGCAGCAAUACAAUUUCCAGCAGAUCAGUGAAAUAGUAAAUAUGGACAGUGGAGUUAUGGUUGAUUUGCUUGGGGUUGUUACAUCAGUUAGCCCUUCUGUUAUAAUAAUGCGGAAGGAUGGCGCAGAAACCCAGAAAAGAACCCUUCAACUGAAGGACAUGUCUGGUUGCAGUGUGGAAAUAACAUUAUGGGGAAAUGUCUGUAAUGCUGAAGGUCAGCAGCUGCACUUGAUGUGCAUUUCUGGCUCUAACCCUAUACUUGCCUUGAAAGGUGGCCGCAUCUGCGAAUUCAACGGCAAAACUGUGGGAACAGUCAGCUCAAGCUUGUUAAAAAUAAAUCCAGACUUGCCUGAUGCAGAAAAGCUGAUGCAGUGGUACAUAACUGAAGGGAAAUUAGCGGUUUGCACUUCUUUAUCUAAGGACAUCUCAAGUGUGGGCAAGAUGUAUAUGCGAAAAACAGUUGCGCAGAUCAAGGACGAGAACUUGGGGCGAUCAGAUCAGCCAGAUUGGGUCACUGUUGAAGCUACAAUUUCACACAUCGACACCGAGAAAUUUUCUUAUCCAGCUUGCACAAGGGAGGUUAAUGGUAAGCGCUGCAACAGAAAGGUAACAAAUAAUGGUGAUGGGAUGUGGCAUUGCCCCAAAUGCCAGCAGAGCUCUCAAAAUUGUGAGUAUCGAUACUUGUUUCAGUGUAAGAUCCAGGACCACACUGGGACUACAAGAAGCUGGCCAGGAAAUAAUUGGCCUCUCAGCGGAAGAGCUUUUCAUGAUUAA